Molecule: ribosomal RNA, 653 nt
Filed under: uncultured bacterium
Lineage: Bacteria
Description: bacterial SSU rRNA
Rfam family: Bacterial small subunit ribosomal RNA
Source: RNAcentral
GAAAGGCGCUUUUGCGUCACUGAUGGAUGGACCCGCGGUGCAUUAGCUAGUUGGUGAGGUAACGGCUCACCAAGGCCACGAUGCAUAGCCGACCUGAGAGGGUGAUCGGCCACACUGGGACUGAGACACGGCCCAGACUCCUACGGGAGGCAGCAGUAGGGAAUCUUCGGCAAUGGACGAAAGUCUGACCGAGCAACGCCGCGUGAGUGAAGAAGGUUUUCGGAUCGUAAAACUCUGUUGUUAGAGAAGAACAAGGAUGAGAGUAGAACGUUCAUCCCUUGACGGUAUCUAACCAGAAAGCCACGGCUAACUACGUGCCAGCAGCCGCGGUAAUACGUAGGUGGCAAGCGUUGUCCGGAUUUAUUGGGCGUAAAGCGAGCGCAGGCGGUUUCUUAAGUCUGAUGUGAAAGCCCCCGGCUCAACCGGGGAGGGUCAUUGGAAACUGGGAGACUUGAGUGCAGAAGAGGAGAGUGGAAUUCCAUGUGUAGCGGUGAAAUGCGUAGAUAUAUGGAGGAACACCAGUGGCGAAGGCGGCUCUCUGGUCUGUAACUGACGCUGAGGCUCGAAAGCGUGGGGAGCGAACAGGAUUAGAUACCCUGGUAGUCCACGCCGUAAACGAUGAGUGCUAAGUGUUGGAGGGUUUCCGCCCUUCA